GGAGAGCUGAGAAGAGCUGAGGAAACGG
This 28-nucleotide non-coding RNA is filed under the name Cricetulus griseus (Chinese hamster). Lineage: Eukaryota; Metazoa; Chordata; Mammalia; Rodentia; Cricetidae. The record is from RNAcentral.